This 468-nucleotide ribosomal RNA is filed under the name uncultured bacterium. RNAcentral's name for it is "partial 16S ribosomal RNA". It matches the Rfam family "Bacterial small subunit ribosomal RNA", at positions 28 to 507 of the family's 1533-position model. The record is from RNAcentral.
GAUGAACGCUGGCGGCGUGCUUAACACAUGCAAGUCGAACGGUGAAGGCGGAGCUUGCUCUGCUGGAUCAGUGGCGAACGGGUGAGUAACACGUGAGCAAUCUGACCCUGACUCUGGGAUAAGCGCUGGAAACGGCGUCUAAUACUGGAUACGAGCUGCGAAGGCAUCUUCAGCAGCUGGAAAGAAUUUCGGUCAGGGAUGAGCUCGCGGCCUAUCAGCUUGUUGGUGAGGUAAUGGCUCACCAAGGCGUCGACGGGUAGCCGGCCUGAGAGGGUGACCUGCCACACUGGGACGGAGACACGGCCCAGACUCCUACGGGAGGCAGCAGUGGGGAAUAUUGCACAAUGGGCGAAAGCCUGAUGCAGCAACGCCGCGUGAGGGACGACGGCCCUCGUGUUGUAAACCUCUUUUAGCAGGGAAGAAGCGAAAGUGACGGUACCUGCAUAAAAAGCGCCGGCUAACUACGUG